RNAcentral lists this long non-coding RNA (648 nucleotides) under Elaeis guineensis (African oil palm). RNAcentral's name for it is "long non-coding RNA (EGUI_LNC021002)". The record is from RNAcentral. Lineage: Eukaryota; Viridiplantae; Streptophyta; Magnoliopsida; Arecales; Arecaceae.
GUAUGUGUUUUAUGCUUGUCUAACAUAUCUAAAUUAUAAAUGUACUCUUUGGUAAGAAAUUAUAAAUAUACUUCAGGUGGCUCCAACUAAGAUUUGAAUGCAACCAAGUUGUGAAUUUGUAAUAUGGCAUGUCAUGAACUGUAUAAAUGGACAAUUAUGAUCUAUUAUUCACCACUAAAAUCAUUGGGGUCUAGAUCAGUGUGAUAUCUUAAGAAAAUCCUAGACCCGGCCCCUUCAACACUAAAAAUGGGAAUUAACAUGUCGAGGCUGGUUUAGACUUUACACUCUUUGGGUUAGGCGCAUCUAAAAAUGUUACACUUUUUGUCCAGAUUUAUAAAUUUUAAUUCGUAGCCUGAGUAUUUACUUAGGAUUGGGCUGUUGAAUGUUGUUGAUUUGGAGGAAACUUUUGCUGAAGCUGCAGCAGCAAUCAUUGUUUCCCUUGCAGUUGGUGUGGUCAAUGGUCAUCAAUGCUCAUUGUACGGGCUUGGCAAGAAGUAUGACUUUAUUUCAUACAAUCCAGUAAAGUUUAAUUAGUAGCUUAUGGCUUUACCUAGCAUUCUGAUGUUAAUUUUCAGAAGACAUUUGUCCGAGUAGCAAUGAUGGCUGUCAUUCCCCCCAAGUUUGUCAUGGCCCGUGGUCGUUCAUGGC